GGCCCUAUCGUCUAAUGGUUAGGACACCGCGCUUUCAAUGCGGGAAUCCGGGUUCGAUUCCCGGUGGGGCUA
This 72-nucleotide transfer RNA is filed under the name Candidatus Veblenbacteria bacterium. RNAcentral describes it as "tRNA-Glu". It matches the Rfam family "tRNA". From Rfam's summary of the family: Transfer RNA (tRNA) molecules are approximately 80 nucleotides in length. Their secondary structure includes four short double-helical elements and three loops (D, anti-codon, and T loops). The record is from RNAcentral. Lineage: Bacteria; Candidatus Vebleniibacteriota.